RNAcentral lists this long non-coding RNA (8255 nucleotides) under Spirodela polyrhiza (greater duckweed). Its description in RNAcentral is "long non-coding RNA (SPOL_LNC000958)". The record is from RNAcentral. Lineage: Eukaryota; Viridiplantae; Streptophyta; Magnoliopsida; Alismatales; Araceae.
CCUCUAACUAUAAGGUGACCAGACGCGCUAAUACAUGCUUUGGGAAGGGCAUUUUCCAGGUGAAACGUAUGGUAUCUUCAUUCACCAGAUUACUUCUGGAGUGGAAAUAGGUGAUACCGUGCCUCUUUCUUCAUCACCUAUGCAUCUAAUCCAGCAAUAAUCAAACAUUCCGCACCUUAAUUAUUUAUUCAUUCACAGACUCUAUAUCCUAGGUCACCUAUAAUUCAAGUAAAUGAUCACGAUAGCCAUUACACCGCCUCUAUGAGGAAGUGUCCUCCAAGACAGAGUUCUCCCUCAAAGAGGUUCUCUUAGAUGUAACCUACCUCUUAUACUUCACAUGAACCACCCGACUUCCAACUGCCAGCAGAGUAGCCAACCUCCCUUUGCUUUACAAUUUUACCUAGAAUUGUGUCAUAUUAUCCACAUUUUCUCUCUCAAUGAUCCCAACCAAUUUCCUUAUCUGCUCUUCUUUCUACUUCCUAAGAUACUUUCAGGAUUCACAUCGCAUGCCUGUCAGUCAACAUCUCCAUUAGAGGUUCUAAUGAAAAGUAUUCUAAAUAUGUUCUUCAUUCAUUAGAGCCUAAUCUUCAAUAGUUUCUCUGUCAUGGUGGUUAUCGCACAAUGCAGCAGUGCAAAAAUUUAUUUGCCAUUGAGUGUUGAACAAUGUUACUUUUGAACUUAUAUAUCAUCUGUAAUAUCUUUCCACGAGCUUCCAACUUCCAUACUCUUUUCAAUUGAUGAAUCAUUCAUCGUGCAGCAGCGGCCUAUUAAAAGUUCUUCAGACUCUUUUCCAAAAAGUUCUCAGAUUCAUCAACUUAAAUGCCAGAGAAGGUUUAGGAGGAGCAUGUCUAAUCAGACAAAAUAAAAGUGAAACAUUGCGCAGAACUUAAGGUUUUCAGCCUUCGCAUAGUUCUAGAUUUUUCAACUUUCUCUAGGCCCGGAUACCAUAAAUGAACGCAUAAGGACAAAUAAAAGUUGCCAGUAAUGCGUAAGAAUUCUUUCAGGUAAAAAUAACAUGUAAUCGUUAAUUGUUGUAGGAAGAACUUUACAUUAAAAUUUCUCUACCAUCUUUUCCCAUAUAAAAUGUUGCUGUUCAUUGGAAAAUAAGUCUUGAGAGAGCAUUAAUUUUUUUGGUUAGAUAAUGACCACUGAAAAGCUACAGCAAAAUCACAACUUUUCCUUAUUUACAUACAUGAUCCUAAUUGAAGCUCCGAGCUAAAAAAUAGAAUUGGCAUUUGGCUGGUAUCAUUAAUAAGUCAUUUCGAUGCAUAUAGUCAUUUAAUUUAAAACAGUUCAUUAUAUAUAUAACUUUGCCACGUUCUCCCCUUUUCUGAAACGACUGUAUCAGACAGUUUAGAGAAUCCAUCAAAUACAUAUUAGUUAUCAUGGUCGUCAUCAGAAUCAACCUAUACUUUUGCCGUCAAAAGGCCAAAUUAAAAAUAAUUAGAUGCUAUAACCUAAGUAUCGGACUAAAAUCUUUCGGACACCUUGACUUCGCAAUACCAUUCUACAGUAAACAUGGUUUUCGAAUGUUUUGCAUAAUUCGUGUAAGAAAGAACGUUUUAUCCAGGUGAUCAAGAAAGCAAACAUCUCAAAAAACGAAAGUAAAUAGGAAUAGACGAUUGCAUUACACCUAGGUAAAAGGAGAUAAAAGGAGUACUUUCACUAAAAACUCCAAAAUAAUUUAAUCAUGUUGUGUCAUGUACCCGUGCUCACUAACGUCAUGAGUUGAGGUAACCAACGUGACAAUGAGGUAUAUCGCAUCUGAUAAUCGCGUGACCCAAGGAAAAAAGCGAAGCUUGAUAACCGAUCGUUUUUCCGCCACAAUUAUCAGUGCAAUAACUUUAAUACGUCUGUACUUUGCCUUGUCGUUCUCUUCCGUCGCCAAAUACCGUUUCGGAAAAGUUUAAUCGCCAAAAUCAAUCUUUCUCAUAAGAUUUCCCCGUCAACGACCAUCUCAUUCAAACGACGUGGAGAAAGACAAUAAAACUCGAAGAGGAAAAAGGUAUCAAAGGAACAGAGACGCACACGAUCACGGACAUAAGAAGAAAUCGAACGGGAAAAAACGACCGCUUAUGAAAGAGUAGGAGCGAAAUUCAGCGUUUCCCCUCCACUGAUCACUUCCCUCUCCCUUGCUCUGCCCCUGAAGAACGCCGGGACAAAGGAUCCUCUCCUAUCAGUAACCAAACGCCCUCUUCAGUUUGAGAAAAAAGCAAAAAAAAUCAUAAAGAACAAUUCCCAAACCCCGAUGCCUCGCAUCCAACUAUAUUUUCCUUCCCCCGAUCAAAAACGGCGGGGGAUUUAUCUCAGACCAGUGAAAAUAAUAGAUGCAUGCUCACAUCGAGAGCAAACAGAUGGCAAAACCAAAGAUCGGCACAUCCAAAUCUGCAGCAGAGCGCGGAAUUACCUUUCCACUCCGCUUGUUCCGCCUCCAGCUCUUCUUCAUCCCUCCUCUCACUCCUCCCACCCCCUCGCCCUUCCGCCCCCUAUCGCCACUCCCGCGGGCAGUUUCAUGUCCCAUUUCUUUCCCAUAAAUAGCCACAUUUUCCGGCGUGAAAAAAAAGGGCUCGCACGGAGCGUCUCAGAGGACGUUUUCCAAAACGGAAAGUGCAUAAAUUAUGUGUGAUUUAUCUCGUCAUUUAUGACGUCACUUGAACCCUGCUCACAAUGAUAUAGGGCUGGACCCCGGCUCAGCCCACGGAAAGAAAAUGGCCCUGGCCCACUUAGCCCCAUUGUAAGACGGGUCUGGUCCGUACAUGUUGGGCCCAGUUCACAUGGAUAUAUAUGGGCCCCUUCUGGAAGGAGAGAGUAGAUGAUGACGUCAUAAUUUGUCAACAUAUUCUUAUUCACAGGAAAUGUAGAUAUGUGAUACACCUAUGUUAGCUUAUGCAUUAAUUGAACUUUGGUUGCCAUGCUAGCAUCUCCCAUUUUCUUUGUUUGAGAUUGCUCUCAAAAGUUGGAGUGAGUCUAGUUUUGAGCUUUUAUUCAUAUCACUAAAACUUAUUUUACCAUGAAAAUUUAAAAUAUCCCAUCUAUGUAAAUAUGUUUCUCUAUUUUCAUCUGUACGACCAUUUUUUACUACGACCAAGUUUAUUUCCGAUGGUUUUCGCAUCUGCCCUUGUUGGUGACCAUAGAUACAAUUUCCAUGUGCCAUAAAGUUGUCAAGUUUGUUGGCCUAAGGUGGUAUGCCAACCAUGGAUUGGAAAAGUUUUUCCAAGGCUGUAUAUGAAUUGGGUUAGAUUUCAAUUCAGCUUUAGUUAUUGGUUCAAUACUCCAAUACUCCAACAAGUGAUUUUGUCAUCAUUAAAAUAUGAUGACUUCAAUACUCCAACAAGAAGGCCAUCAUCAAUUCUUGCUCACUAGUUAUUGGUUCAUAUGUGUGACAUCAAAGGCCUAGCCCAUAUAAUUGAUGUAAUUCUAACAUCCUUAAUUGUGACUUCUUCAAUUGACAAUGGAUAGUGGAUAAGGACAUGCAUAAUUUCAACAACCUAGGAUUUCUUUUGAAGGUUUUAAUUGUGUGGCCCUCUUUAUAUUACAAGAUGAGAUCCCUCUAGUGGAUAUGAGUCCACCCCAAGGUAGACAACCAACAUAUCCCUAUGAUGACAUAUCAUUCCCCCAAUGACAGGACGCAAGGUAAUACCUUGAACUUCAAAGGUGACGCCCACUUGGUAAUAAAUUCUUUGAUAAUUUGAGUGCACAUGAAAUUAUGAGUAGCUUCACUGUCUAUUAGGAUGUUGAUUGCUCUGCCCUUCAGCGUAACCUACAACUUUAAUGUUUUGAGUUAGUAUACCCUAAUAAUAGAUUUGAGAGAAACAUAGGUAGUAGUAAAUAACGUACCUUUUUUGUGUUAUUAUAUCAUCAAAAUGUGCCCAAUCUUCCAUGUCUGGCUCCCCUUCUCGUUGAAUUAUUUCGUCUUCAUGGACUAUCAUAAUUUACAAAAAAAAUUUGCAAUAGUAAUCAGACCCAAACUUGUCAUUUCAAUGGAAACACAAUCCGUUCUCUCUCCCUGCAUGUAGUUACAAUUCUAUGAGCAUUAUGUGCAUCUUUGGUCUAAUGGAUUCUAAUUGGGCGGCUGUGGGUGGCUUAUGGAUCUCUAUAGUAUGACCAGUUGCCUUGACUUGCUCAUGAGAGAAAUCUUGGAGCUGGGCUUUGAAGCUGAAAGAAAUCUCUAGUACUGGUUGUAAAGUUGGAACUAGCUCCUAGUACACUCCUGCAACUCAUCCUGCAAGAAGUGUUCCAUGUUGUCCAUAAGGCUGUCAAACAUUUCUCUACAUGGAGACCAGUGUACAUAAUGUCACGUAGUCCUACCAAAUGGUCCCCUAGAUUUCAGAUUAAAUUUCAGGCUUUAAAACUUUGAUGAAAGUCUGCUCCAUAACAAUAUCUUGAAGUGGAGGUAGGUAUACCGAUAACUGCUCAAAUUCUGGUCUAUAUUUACUGACAGUUCCCUCAUACACUAUGUUUAAGAAUUUGUGCAAAAUAUUGUCAAAUAGAGAGUGGCCAGAGCACGUAUCUAUCUGAAUCUUGAAGUUUUGUCAAUCUUUAAAAGAAUAUCGAUCCUCAGUCUAGAUAAAUCAAUGUAACACCAUGCCUUCCAUAUAUGUCAAAACUAAUUUCAACCGCUUUGGAUCCACGAUUUUGUUGAUCCAAAAAUAUCUAUACUUCAGAUCCAACCUUCGACAUCCUCCCCUUUAAAAAUAAGUCACCUUUCUUGAGUGCUUGCUGUUAUCUUGGGGGCUCAUCGUGCCAUAAUAAUAGUUUGAUGCAUAGGGUUGGGGGCCUCUACGCGUCAGCUGGAAGCGGAGGGGCCAGGAUAAGGCACACCGUCAUCAUCAUCAUCAUCCCUACGACUGGCUCUCUUUCCGCAGUCAACCACUGCCUACUCCAGCCACACAGCUUAGUUGUGGAGCGGGUUGGCGCCCUGUGGCGCCCUCCUCGCCGACACCCCAUAUGCCGCGGGCAUCCCACUGCGCUGGCAUGAACGUCUCCCUGCGCCGCCCAGUGCCCUCCAGUCGCCGCCACCUCUCCCACAGUGCCCAAACCAGCGCUCCCCCCACCACCAGCACAAGCACGAAGACCGCCCCCUCCAAUUCAUCACAACUAGAAGACCGCCAGCGAGCGAGAGAGAGCCAGAGAGAGAGAGAGAGAGACCAGCCAAAAGCCCGGCCCCCCGCAAAACCCAUCUUAUUUCCUCUGCAAACAAGAGUGCAACAAAAAAAAAGCCCAGCUGGUGGGUAGGCAUUGACUCGUCGGCUUACAUGCCAGCCGUCGAAAAACUAGCUCACUGCGGUCUCCGGGAUCGUCGGCAGCCCUCGCACCCGCACCAGGCGUCGACUUAUCGGCAGAUCUGGCUGACGCACCAGUCGUCGAAGAGCUUGCCGUGGUCUCCGAGAUCGAGGCAGCUGACCUCGUCCUUGCGCCAGAACCAGUCCUCGUACCUGUACCACCUCAUGCGGCCCUUGUCAACGCUCACCCGCCGGCAGGAGACGCAGAGCGGGUCGAGGCAGUAGGCGAACUCCCUCAGCCGCGCGGCCUUUCCGAGAAUGGCGGCGUCCAGCUCCCUGAUGAUCCUCUUGGAGCUGGAAGCCGGGCCCUCCACUAGGAGGCAGUGGGAGAUGUUCAGCACCUCCAGGUCCUCCAUCCGGUCGAGGAUGAACAGCAGCGCCUCCCUGGACAGCCUGGAGCAGCGCACGCUCAGCGCCUUCAGCCUGGGGAGGUUGGAGUGGAUGCAGGUGGCGAAGUUGACGUCGAAGGAGCCCAUGAUCUUCAGCUGGCUGAAGUUCUUGCAGCUCCGGCUGAUCUCCUCCAUGAUAUACGGAGGUUGCAGGAUGGUGGGCAUCGUCAUCGACUCCAGCUCCUCCCACCUCCUGAUCGCCUGGCAGAUCCCCGUCUUCGUGAUCCGAUUCCAUGCCGGCAGCACCAGCCGCUUCAGAUGCGGGCACCUGAAGAUGAACCAAAAAAAGAAAAAAAGAAAAAGAAAGAAAGAUAAAGAAGAAGAAAGAGCUGCGAUUAUUUAUACCUCUCGGCGAUGUAGUUCAAAUGCUCGUCUUUCAUGUAGAGGUUGAAGUGGAAGAUCAUGCAGGAGAUGUUCCCAUGGCUGAGGGUCAUGGCGAUCUUCAGCACCCCGGUCAACCUCCGGUCCGACCGGUUGUCAACCCAGACGUAGGGCGAAGCCCGGGUGGGGAUGAAGUUUGACUUCAUCCGCCCCAGGUCGAGGACUCCCCAGAGCAGGGGAUCUGCGCAGGCCAGCCGCCAGGAGCGGCAGACCUGCGACACCGACGCCAUCUCGAUUAUGUUGAGCUCCUUGAAGAUCUUCACCAGGGCGCCCAUCUCCAUGUCCUCCCACCUUCUAGAUGUCAGCCUGAUAUCGGCCAUCCUUGCUGGCCCUACAACUAUGCGCCAAAAAUCACAGAGCAUUGCACCCCUCAGAGGUCUGCUGCUAGGAAAAUGGUCGCCACAAAAAUAGAAGAGUGAAAAAUGUAGAGAGAGAAACUGUGACCCAACUGGUGGGGACCACUCGAGAAGGCGAGGGAAUAGGAGAGGCGCUCUUGUCAUAGAGGAAGGAGUUAAAGAAACUACACCCUUCAGAGCAUGGAAUUCCACCAUAAACACAUUGGACAGAAAUGGGUUCCAGAGGUGGUCUGAAAUGCAGGUACUCACGGCAAGAGCUUCGAGGAGGUAUAGAAACUAAAGGACCACGAUCCGGUUUAGAUACAAAUAUGUGAUUCAUCCUGCCCAGAUCACGAGAAUGCAACAUCCCAUCAUCUAGGAAGCAGCUUCUUUCACUCGACGAUCAUGAUUUAUAUAGAAACGAUAUUGCUAUCCGGAUAGAAAAAAGAAAAUCUCCUAUUUGCAUCAGCUGGAAUGAUAGACACCACUCAUUUGGAAAACAGUGAUUAGAAAGUUUAAUUAACUAUUCAGGCAAAAAAAAAAUCUAAUUUGCAUUUCUAGUGACAUCACAGAAUUCAUCAAGACAAAUGAGGAAAGUGUUCCUGAAGACGUGGCUACCUAGAACGCAGGCUAACCUGCUAUUUGAGUUUCUUUUUAAUAAGAACAACGCAGACAAUGGAGGGGAACGAAAAAAAUGAUGAACUGCGCAAAAAAGAGACAUUAUCAAAUUGUCCCUAGUCAAAGAACAGCAAGCAGUAGUUCCGAGGUGCAGUUCUUGCAGCUGUAUUGUCCUGUGACAGUCGUAUCUGGUACGAAUUAAUAGGAUGCAGAAGAUUUACUGGCGUAACAUACUAAAGAGGGCAAAGAAAACGAAAUGCAGUAUCCUAAGCAAUUUCUCCAAAAUAAUAUUCCCCAAGAAAUAUUAGCAUCCAAAGAUAACAUCACACAUGAAACCCGCCCAUCCCCACAAAGAACAAAUAUAAAUCUCCAUCUACCUCUAACUACAAGGUGCCCAGACACGCUAAUACAUGCUUUGGGACGGGCAUUUUCUCUCUCAAUGAUCCCAACCAAUUUCCUUUUUUGCACUUCUUUCUACUUCCUAAGAUACUUUCAGGAUUCACAUCGCAUGCCUGUCAGUCAACAUCUCCAUUAGAGGUUCUAAUGAAAAGUACUCUAAAUCUGUUCGUCAUUCAUUAGAGCCUAAUCUUCAAUAGUUUCUCUGUCAUGGUGGUUACCGCACAAUGCAGCAGUGCAAAAAUUUAUUUGCCAUUGAGUGUUGAAAAAUGUUACUUUUGAACUUAUAUAUCAUCUGUAAUAUCUUUCCACGAGCUUCCAACUUCCAUACUCUUUUCAAUUGAUGAAUCAUUCAUCGUGCAGCAGCGGCCUAUUAAAAGUUCUUCAGACUCUUUUCCAAAAAGUUCUCAGAUUCAUCAACUUAAAUGCCAGAGAAGGUUUAGGAGGAGCAUGUCUAAUCAGACAAAAUAAAAGUGAAACAUUGCGCAGAACUUAAGGUUUUCAGCCUUCGCAUAGUUCUAGAUUUUUCAACUUUCUCUAGGCCCGGAUACCAUAAAUGGACGCAUAAGGACAAAUAAAAGUUGCCAGUAAUGCGUAAGAAUUCUUUCAGGUAAAAAUAACAUGUGAUUGUUAAUUGUUGUAGGAAUAAAUUUACAAUAAAGUCUCUCUACCAUCUUUUCCCAUAUAAAAUGUUGCUGUUCAUUGGAAAAUAAGUCUUGAGAGAGCAUUAAUUUUUUUGGUUAGAUAAUGACCACUGAAAAGCUACAGCAAAAUCACAACUUUUCCUUAUUUACAUACAUGAUCCUAAUUGAAGCUCCGAGCUAAAAAAUAGAAUUGGCAUUUGGCUGGUAUCA